UCCGGUUUGGCACCGGCAGUAUCCAAUGAGUCCCCGGCAUUACCCGCUGGCAACAUUGGACAGGGGUUGCGCUCGUUGCGCCACUUAAGGCAACACCUCACGGCACGAGCUGACGACAGCCAUGCAGCGUCUGUGCACGCUCCCUUGCGGGUCAUCCCUGUUUCCAGGUCUUACCACGUGCAUGUCAAGCCCAGGUAAGGUUCUUCGCGUUACAUCGAAUUAAGCCACAUGCUCCGCCGCUUGUGCGGGUCCCCGUCAAUUCCUUUGAGUUUUAGCCUUGCGGCCGUACUCCCCAGGCGGGGUGCUUAAUGCGUUAGCUGCGGCACAGAAUCCGUCGAUAGGACCCCACACCUAGCACCCAUCGUUUACGGCUGGGACUAC
Molecule: unclassified non-coding RNA, 381 nt
Filed under: uncultured Actinomycetes bacterium
Lineage: Bacteria; Bacillati; Actinomycetota; Actinomycetes
Description: uncultured actinobacterium contains 16S-23S intergenic spacer region
Source: RNAcentral